RNAcentral lists this unclassified non-coding RNA (274 nucleotides) under Hevea brasiliensis (rubber tree). The record is from RNAcentral. Lineage: Eukaryota; Viridiplantae; Streptophyta; Magnoliopsida; Malpighiales; Euphorbiaceae.
GAUGGCACUUUGGCAAAAUUCUUGAAGAAACCUGGUGACAGAGUUGAAGUUGAUGAGCUCAUUGCCCAGAUUGAAACUGACAAGGUGACCAUUGAUGUAGCUAGUCCCGAAGCUGGUGUUAUCCAGAAGUUAGUAGCCAAGGAAGGUGAAACGGUGGAACCAGGUACCAAGAUUGCUGUCAUUUCAAAAUCAGCAGAAGCAGUAACACAAACUGCACCACAAGAAAAGGCAGCUCCAGAGACUCCCCCUCCUGCAAAAAAGGAGAGUGAAAAAA